UACGUAGGUGACAAGCGUUGUCCGGAUUUACUGGGCGUAAAGCGCGCGCAGGCGGUCGUGCAAGUCGCGUGUGAAAGCCCCCGGCUCAACUGGGGAGGGUCACGCGAUACUGCUCGACUUGAAGGCAGGAGAGGGAAGUGGAAUUCCCGGUGUAGUGGUGAAAUGCGUAGAUAUCGGGAGGAACACCAGUGGCGAAGGCGACUUCCUGGCCUGUUCUUGACGCUGAGGCGCGAAAGCUAGGGUAGCAAACGGG
RNAcentral lists this ribosomal RNA (253 nucleotides) under uncultured bacterium. RNAcentral describes it as "partial 16S ribosomal RNA". It matches the Rfam family "Bacterial small subunit ribosomal RNA", at positions 524 to 776 of the family's 1533-position model. The record is from RNAcentral.